This 3367-nucleotide long non-coding RNA is filed under the name Varroa destructor (honeybee mite). RNAcentral's name for it is "uncharacterized LOC111250357, transcript variant X1". The record is from RNAcentral. Lineage: Eukaryota; Metazoa; Arthropoda; Arachnida; Mesostigmata; Varroidae.
GUCAAGUGCUGGCCUGUCAUAUGAGUGAUCUACGAUUGUCGGGGAUCUUAUGGAAGAAUCGCUACUGUUUGGCCACAUUUGCCAUCAGCUCUCGAUUCAGUAUUUCCGAUCGGGUUCGACGAAGUUCGCUUCAUUUUCAAGCUGAUUGGCAACUGACGACUAGCGGUGGGAGGGUAUUGAGGCGCUGCAUACCGAACCAAAAAUGAAGUCCGGUCGAAGAAAAAUAGUUAGUGCUAAAUUUGGUGCAACCGAACGAACAAAUGCUACUUCUAGGCGAAUAUACUACAGAUAGAAGAACUGACGAUAUCGGUUAAAAUAUUAAAUUUAUGAAACGUGGUUGAUACGAUGUGACCUUGGUGGUUCUGAAGGCCUUGCUUCUAUAUCUGGUUAUUUUUGUAUUUGCAUAAUCUGUGAGCGUUUAGUGUGUGUACCAGUUGUUAGCAGAAACGCCAGUUUCUGUUGAGCGGAUCGGCGAAAUCAUAGAGUCAAACAUUGAAAGGGUGUCGUGUUGUGUAAAUGUGCUCCUGUUCCCCAGUUAGAACAGAUAAUGACACUACUGUUCAGGUGGGCAUCACUGCAGUGUGUGUAAAUGUGGUGGGCAUAUUCCCUGGUGUCGUUUAAAUGCUCGGAACGUCUCCUUAUUGUGUCAGUGGAUAUAUCGAAAUAAUUGAAGGACGGCGCCUAUAGUAGGUGUAUUCACAGCUGUUGCGUUGACUUUGGCAAUUGAAACUAUAUGAUUAUUUGUGCCUUGAGGAUUUGUACUUUACGUUUUUGGAUGCAGUUAUCGGCCUUCCGCAGGGGUAAGUGGGUCCGGGUAACUGUUUCAAGUUGCCUAACGAAACUUGUGUGAAGACCGACCGGAGAACUUCCUUCGCCAAUAGCAUCCAGCUGCGUAUAUUCAAACGAUCGUAUGUGUUUGCAGAGCUGCACAGUGUUUUCUGUUCAUUUGAUAAUUUCAGUGAACUCGUGUAAUUUUCUGUAUAAAUAUGGCGUCAUAAACGUUCAAGGUCGUUCUGACACUAACCAUUCGAUUUUACAAAACGUGGUCGCUUUCGGCUUUUUUGAUCAGCCGUUUCACUUAUAGACCGUACCCUGUCACCUUCGUAUAUGGGGCUAACCUAUGGGACCGAUAAUCCCGUGCGUGCUGCCAUGCACGACAAGUUAUCCUAUUAGCAAGCAGUAGAAAGUCUCUCUCGCUAGAAAUUCUGUGUUUUCUCAUGAAAACAAAGGUGGAAUCAUAACAAGAUCAUAUGAACAAAACGGGGUGAACUGUUAACGGGAAAAGGCAGGAGAACUGGAAAGCUGUCGUGAGCAAGCAUGAGCUACUGACGGCAUUUUCCACGUACGCCGGCGUCGUCGAAAGCAAGCACCGGCCGGAAAAGUUCCCACAGACUAAGGUUCGUGAGUGCAGGCGAAUGCUUCACGCGAAAGACUUUGGUGAAAAAGCCAGGAAAAGUCAGCUAGACAUAUCUGCAAAGAAAACGAUGGCGGAUGCCUCCUAGGGGCCGCGCACUACUAGAGCAAAGGAAACUACUGCUAACUGGCAUGGAUUGACGUAAAGAAAGGACUAUUUAUAGAUCGGAGCUCAGGGCGACGUAAAACCGACGUGCACAUGGCAUGUGACAUCGUCAGAAAGUAAUAUAAUGCUUAUGCCAGCUAACUGACUCUACUGUUUCUAACACUACAGGUGCUGGCUUGCCUGUACGAUCACUUUUGGCCUUUUCCGUGUGUGUCAUCGCAAAUUGCCCCGGAGUAAACAUCCAAGCCGAGACUCCUUUCUACCUUAUCAACGUUUGCUAUGCAAAUGUGAAUUGAAAAUGUUUAGAAAACUUUUGCCCUCAACCUGGAAGCAAACAAAGAAAAAUACGCGGAAACGUGAAACAGCGGUCAGGAUACUGUCCUGCGUGGAAGACGUUGUGCGUUGUUCAUAAUGUUUCUGCGUGUCUGUUCGACAACACGAGGGAGAUAGCGGCGCCGGUUAGCUAUAGGAGACGAAAGAAAUGGAACGAAGGCGCCUUAUUCACUUCUAAGCGCGUUCCUUGGUGCGCUGUUAUCACGGCCGUCGAAGGCACAGCAACGGUGCUAAUCACACUCGCUGGAGUGGAACCACCAGAAGUGGUCCUUAUCCCGUGAAGGCGCGAAAAACUUCCUCUGACUCAGCGUUACUGGGCGCCUCUCAAGUGGAGUUCGUCUCCGCCGGUCUGUAGUCGAGGACAGCGACGGAGAGGAGGACGGACGACAGACCUUUUAUUACAGGAAGAGCAGGCCGGCAAGCAAGGAGGCCAAGUCCGAAAAAAAAAAGCUGUGUAAAAAGGGUUUUCAAGAAUGUGAGGUGCGAGCUGAAAGUCUUUUUAUAUAUACACGCACAGCAUGGCGGCAUUGCCGAGAAGACGUGGUGGACUAGAGAACUUAUCACAUGCUUGUUCGGUAAGGAAGCAGAACAAAUUGUCUGUACUGCUCUGCUACACUCGCUUCUUAUCCAUCUUCUGGUGAAUGAUAACAUUCAGCGGAAUGCUUGUAAGACAGAGAGGUAAGGAAUUUGUAUGUGCGUAAGGUGUAGCCGGUGAUUGUGCCGGUAUUACACAUUCGGAGAUACGAAUAGGGGUCGAGUUCCUCUUGUCGUUCGUCGAACGGAAUGGCAGCAGCUUGACUUCGUUAGAAUGACUGGGUAGCUGGAGUGACGGGAUAGGUAAACGUCACAAGUUGAAGCUGGACGGACCGAACCGGAAAUCGCCAUCCAUGCGGAGGCUUAGAUCUGGGUUUUUGCCACUUUACCGGUUGUUCGCUUCUAUCAGUAAUCUUGUACCUUCCGAUUUUCUUUCCUCUCGCCGAGCUUGCUGAGCCAAAGUUUUGACAAAAAGACUCACAAGACCAUGCAUAGCUUCGCGGGGCGACUUUGCCUCUACAAAGCCGGUGAAGAUGACGACGACGACGACGACGACGACGACGGCGGCUAGAUCUCCUUCUCGUUCGGUACUUAGCUAAGCGUUAGAAAGACCACGAACCAAAUGUUGCAUUACCCCAUUACAUAGGCACAAUAUAGAGCGUCAAUUCAAUCUGAAAUUAACGCAACGAAACAAAUGUCUGUAUUAUGUUAAUAUAAAUUUGGAUCCGUUCUUUUACGUGUCAAACAAACAUAACAGCACGAGUUUUUCGUAUCCGUAAUCCGCUAAUAGGCAACGGCCCGCUUUAAGAAUCGACCAAACGACGCGCGACCUGUUGUAAAGGGUUUAUCAAGAGAGCUGCACGAAGCUUCGAGCAGACGAGUGUACUGUGUUAGCUGCUGAGUACUAACUAUAAAAGGGUCGCUUUACGAAUCACGAUGCCGUUCGUCGUAUGCACCCGAUUAAGGGGCAUUUUAAGUUGA